GCUCGAGUGGCGAACGGGUGAGUAACACGUGAGUAACCUGCCCUUGACUUUGGGAUAACUUCAGGAAACUGGGCUAAUACCGGAUAGGAGCUCCUGCUGCAUGGUGGGGGUUGGAAAGUUUAGGCGGUUGGGGAUGGACUCGCGGCUUAUCAGCUUGUUGGUGGGGUAGUGGCUUACCAAGGCUUUGACGGGUAGCCGGCCUGAGAGGGUGACCGGCCACAUUGGGACUGAGAUACGGCCCAG
Molecule: ribosomal RNA, 243 nt
Filed under: uncultured Actinomycetales bacterium
Lineage: Bacteria; Bacillati; Actinomycetota; Actinomycetes; Actinomycetales
Description: partial 16S ribosomal RNA
Rfam family: Bacterial small subunit ribosomal RNA
Source: RNAcentral